Molecule: ribosomal RNA, 497 nt
Filed under: uncultured bacterium
Lineage: Bacteria
Description: partial 16S ribosomal RNA
Rfam family: Bacterial small subunit ribosomal RNA
Source: RNAcentral
AUUGAACGCUGGCGGCAUGCCUAACACAUGCAAGUCGAACGGCCGCACGGGUACUUUCCCCUGGUGGCGAGUGCCGCACGGGUGUGUGUUACAUCUGGACAUGUCCUGUAUUAGGGGAUAGCCCCGCGAAAGCCGGAUUAAUACCGCCUACGAUCUACUGAUGACACCGGGUUCCCUUCUGACCUCCCGCUUUGCGGUUGGCCGUUGGCUGAUCCGCGCCUGAGUAGGUAGUAGGUCUGGUAACGGCCUACCAAGGCGACGAUGAGUAGCCGCCCUGAGAGGACGACCAGCCACACUGGGACUGAGACACGGUCCAGACUCCUACGGGAGGCAGCAGUAGGGAAUCUUGGGCAAUGGGCGAAAGCCUGACCGAGCAAUGCCGCGUGUGUGAAGAAGGCCUUCGGGUUGUAAAGCACUUUUGUCAGGAAAGAAAACCUGGGUAAGAAAACGGGCGGGGGAUGACGGUACCGGAAGAAUAAGCACCGGCUAACUACGUG